This 650-nucleotide ribosomal RNA is filed under the name Enterobacter sp. INBio2924D. RNAcentral describes it as "bacterial SSU rRNA". It matches the Rfam family "Bacterial small subunit ribosomal RNA", at positions 96 to 739 of the family's 1533-position model. Lineage: Bacteria; Pseudomonadati; Pseudomonadota; Gammaproteobacteria; Enterobacterales; Enterobacteriaceae. The record is from RNAcentral.
CGGCGGACGGGUGAGUAAUGUCUGGGAAACUGCCUGAUGGAGGGGGAUAACUACUGGAAACGGUAGCUAAUACCGCAUAACGUCGCAAGACCAAAGAGGGGGACCUUCGGGCCUCUUGCCAUCAGAUGUGCCCAGAUGGGAUUAGCUAGUAGGUGGGGUAACGGCUCACCUAGGCGACGAUCCCUAGCUGGUCUGAGAGGAUGACCAGCCACACUGGAACUGAGACACGGUCCAGACUCCUACGGGAGGCAGCAGUGGGGAAUAUUGCACAAUGGGCGCAAGCCUGAUGCAGCCAUGCCGCGUGUAUGAAGAAGGCCUUCGGGUUGUAAAGUACUUUCAGCGGGGAGGAAGGNGGUGAGGUUAAUAACCUCAUCAAUUGACGUUACCCGCAGAAGAAGCACCGGCUAACUCCGUGCCAGCAGCCGCGGUAAUACGGAGGGUGCAAGCGUUAAUCGGAAUUACUGGGCGUAAAGCGCACGCAGGCGGUCUGUCAAGUCGGAUGUGAAAUCCCCGGGCUCAACCUGGGAACUGCAUUCGAAACUGGCAGGCUAGAGUCUUGUAGAGGGGGGUAGAAUUCCAGGUGUAGCGGUGAAAUGCGUAGAGAUCUGGAGGAAUANCCCGGUGGCGAAGGCGGCCCCCUGGAUCAAAGA